RNAcentral lists this ribosomal RNA (469 nucleotides) under uncultured bacterium. RNAcentral describes it as "partial 16S ribosomal RNA". It matches the Rfam family "Bacterial small subunit ribosomal RNA", at positions 28 to 507 of the family's 1533-position model. The record is from RNAcentral.
GACGAACGCUGGCGGCGUGCUUAACACAUGCAAGUCGAACGGAAAGGCCCUGCUUGCAGGGUGCUCGAGUGGCGAACGGGUGAGUAACACGUGGGUGAUCUGCCCCUUACUUUGGGAUAAGCCUGGGAAACUGGGUCUAAUACUGGAUAGGACCAUGCUGUAGGUGGUGUGGUGGAAAGAUUAGUUUCGGUAAGGGAUGAGCUCGCGGCCUAUCAGCUUGUUGGUGGGGUAAUGGCCUACCAAGGCGUCGACAGGUAGCCGGCCUGAGAGGGUGGACGGCCACAUUGGGACUGAGAUACGGCCCAGACUCCUACGGGAGGCAGCAGAGGGGAAUAUUGCGCAAUGGGCGCAAGCCUGAUGCAGCGACGCCGCGUGGGGGAUGACGGCCUUCGGGUUGUAAACUCCUUUCAGCCAUGACGAAGCCCUUGUGGUGACGGUAGUGGUAGAAGAAGCACCGGCUAACUACGUG